GACGAACGCUGGCGGCGGGCUUAACACAUGCAAGUCGAAGGGAAAGGGCCUGCUUUGGUUGGGUACUCGAGUGGCGAACGGGUGCGUAACACGUGAGUAACCUUCCCUUGAGUUUGGUACAACUUCAGGCACCUGGGGAUAAUACCGGAUAGGAGCUCCUGCUGCAUGGUGGGGAUUGGAAAGUUUCGGCGGUUGGUGAUGGACUCGCGGCUUAUGCGCUUGAUGGUGGGGUAGGUGCUUACCAAGGCUUUCACGGGUAGCCGGCCUGAGAGGGUGACCGGCCACCUUGCGACUGAGAUACGGCCCACACUACUACGGGAGGCAGCAGUGGGGAAGAUUGCCCAAUGGGCGGAAGCCUGGUGCAGCAACGCCGCGUUCGGGAUGACGGCCUUCGUGUUGUCGACCGCUUUCGCAUGUGACUAAGCGUGAUUGACGGUAACGGGUAAAGAAGCACCGGCUAACUACGUG
Molecule: ribosomal RNA, 468 nt
Filed under: uncultured bacterium
Lineage: Bacteria
Description: partial 16S ribosomal RNA
Rfam family: Bacterial small subunit ribosomal RNA
Source: RNAcentral